CAUGCAGUCGAACGAUGAUGCCCAGCUUGCUGGGCGGAUUAGUGGCGAACGGGUGAGUAACACGUGAGUAACCUGCCCUUGACUUCGGGAUAACUCCGGGAAACCGGGGCUAAUACCGGAUAUGAGCCGCCUUCGCAUGGGGGUGGUUGGAAAGUUUUUCGGUCAGGGAUGGGCUCGCGGCCUAUCAGCUUGUUGGUGGGGUGAUGGCCUACCAAGGCGACGACGGGUAGCCGGCCUGAGAGGGCGACCGGCCACACUGGGACUGAGACACGGCCCAGACUCCUACGGGAGGCAGCAGUGGGGAAUAUUGCACAAUGGGCGAAAGCCUGAUGCAGCGACGCCGCGUGAGGGAUGAAGGCCUUCGGGUUGUAAACCUCUUUCAGCAGGGAAGAAGCGCAAGUGACGGUACCUGCAGAAGAAGCGCCGGCUAACUACGUGCCAGCAGCCGCGGUAAUACGUAGGGCGCAAGCGUUGUCCGGAAUUAUUGGGCGUAAAGAGCUCGUAGGCGGUUUGUCGCGUCUGGUGUGAAAACUCGAGGCUCAACCUCGAGCUUGCAUCGGGUACGGGCAGACUAGAGUGCGGUAGGGGAGACUGGAUUUCCUGGUGUAGCGGUGGAAUGCGCAGAUAUCAGGAGGAACACCGAUGGCGAAGGCAGGUCUCUGGGCCGCAACUGACGCUGAGGAGCGAAAGCAUGGGGAGCGAACAGGAUUAGAUACCCUGGUUAGUCCAUGCCGUAAACGUUUGGCACUAGGUGUGGGGGC
This 761-nucleotide ribosomal RNA is filed under the name Cellulosimicrobium cellulans. RNAcentral describes it as "bacterial SSU rRNA". It matches the Rfam family "Bacterial small subunit ribosomal RNA", at positions 54 to 829 of the family's 1533-position model. The record is from RNAcentral. Lineage: Bacteria; Bacillati; Actinomycetota; Actinomycetes; Micrococcales; Promicromonosporaceae.